This is a long non-coding RNA of Oreochromis aureus, 355 nucleotides long. The record is from Ensembl. NCBI's taxonomy places the organism in Eukaryota, Metazoa, Chordata, Actinopteri, Cichliformes, Cichlidae.
GUCGAGCGGACCUGUAAUUACGACCUGACCGCUGUAAUUGUGUUUGAGCGGCGGAGGAACUGAGUUAGACAACAAGUGGAACAAAUUUGGUAACAACCUGCAUGAAGAGCAGCACUCUAGCAUGUGAGGCCUCGUUUAUUGAGCACGUUUCCUCAGCUGACCGAUCAAUGGAUCUGCUUAAAAGCGCGUGUUGGCGGCGCUCAGGCUUGAUGGCGUUUUAAUUUCUGCAAGUCAGACACACUCUACCAACAACGCAGGCCUCUCCUCUCCUCUGCACUCCUCCCCGCCCCUGCCCCCAACCCCAGACCAGAGCCGCUGACCUCGCAGGACACGCACACAAACACACACACGCUGC